This 252-nucleotide ribosomal RNA is filed under the name uncultured prokaryote. RNAcentral's name for it is "partial 16S ribosomal RNA". It matches the Rfam family "Bacterial small subunit ribosomal RNA", at positions 524 to 776 of the family's 1533-position model. The record is from RNAcentral.
GACGAAGGAUGCAAGCGUUAUCCGGAUCAUUGGGUUUAAAGGGAGCGUAGGUGGACCGAUAAGUCAGUGGUGAAAUCUCUGGGCUUAACUCAGAAAUUGCCAUUGAUACUGUUGGUCUUGAGUACAGUUGCUGUGGGCGGAAUAUGACAUGUAGUGGUGAAAUACAUAGAUAUGACAUAGAACACCAAUUGCGAAGGCAGCUGGCUACACAAAUAUUGACACUGAGGCACGAAAGCGUGGGGAUCAAACAGG